This is a non-coding RNA of Pelobates cultripes (western spadefoot toad), 419 nucleotides long. Lineage: Eukaryota; Metazoa; Chordata; Amphibia; Anura; Pelobatidae. The record is from the annotation of a GenBank genome assembly.
CUCAGAUCUGCUGAGUUCCUGUUUUACCCUCAACACAGAGCAUUGUCUCAUGUGUGGGGGAAAAGGCUGCAUCUACACUGGGGGAUUCCUAUACUCUGUAUACUCCCCUGGGCUAUAAUUACUAAGCUCUUAUAAGAGCUUGUUCCUUUACUCUCUUGGAGGAGAGGUUCACCCACUGGAACCUGGAGCCUUGUCGUAGGUCCAGGGUAGGUAGAGGACGGUGAGUACCCAGCCAAGCUGUAACGCUGGAUGUGGGGACUGCGGUGCUGAUGGUGUCUGGUGCGGUGCUGAUGGUCCUUGGUAAGCACUAGGCUCAUCGAUUGACGGUGGGUCCGUCACAAUCAUAGUCUCUUUUCUCCUGUCAUGUGUUAAAAACACACAAUUUGCACCUUCUUGCAUAUACUUGUGAUGAUGAGUAG